Molecule: ribosomal RNA, 468 nt
Filed under: uncultured bacterium
Lineage: Bacteria
Description: partial 16S ribosomal RNA
Rfam family: Bacterial small subunit ribosomal RNA
Source: RNAcentral
GACGAACGCUGGCGGCGUGCUUAACACAUGCAAGUCGAACGGAAAGGCCCUGCUUUUGUGGGGUGCUCGAGUGGCGAACGGGUGAGUAACACGUGAGUAACCUGCCCUUGACUUUGGGAUAACUUCAGGAAACUGGGGCUAAUACCGGAUAGGAGCUCCUGCUGCAUGGUGGGGGUUGGAAAGUUUCGGCGGUUGGGGAUGGACUCGCGGCUUAUCAGCUUGUUGGUGGGGUAGUGGCUUACCAAGGCUUUGACGGGUAGCCGGCCUGAGAGGGUGACCGGCCACAUUGGGACUGAGAUACGGCCCAGACUCCUACGGGAGGCAGCAGUGGGGAAUAGUGCACAAUGGGCGGAAGCCUGAUGCAGCAACGCCGCGUGCGGUAUGACGGCCUUCGGGUUGUAAACCGCUUUCGCCUGUGACGAAGCGUGAGUGACGGUAAUGGGUAAAGAAGCACCGGCUAACUACGUG